RNAcentral lists this ribosomal RNA (253 nucleotides) under uncultured bacterium. RNAcentral describes it as "partial 16S ribosomal RNA". It matches the Rfam family "Bacterial small subunit ribosomal RNA", at positions 524 to 776 of the family's 1533-position model. The record is from RNAcentral.
UACGGAGGGUGCAAGCGUUAUCCGGAUUCACUGGGUUUAAAGGGUGCGUAGGUGGGCAAGUAAGUCAGUGGUGAAAUCUCCGGGCUUAACCCGGAAACUGCCAUUGAUACUAUUUGUCUUGAAUACUGUGGAGGUCAGCGGAAUAUGUCAUGUGGCGGUGAAAUGCUUAGAUAUGACAUAGAACACCAAUUGCGAAGGCAGCUGGCUACACAAAUAUUGACACUGAGGCACGAAAGCGUGGGGAUCAAACAGG